RNAcentral lists this unclassified non-coding RNA (150 nucleotides) under uncultured Sordariomycetes. RNAcentral describes it as "sequence contains ITS2". The record is from RNAcentral. Lineage: Eukaryota; Fungi; Ascomycota; Sordariomycetes.
GUACCCUCAAGCCUUGCUUGGUGUUGGGCGUCUUGUCUUGCGAGACUCGCCUUAAAACAAUUGGCAGCCGGCAUACUGGUUUUGAAGCGCAGCACAAAUUGCACUUCUACCGUAGAAUGCUAGGCCUCCAUAAAGCGUACUUUUUUCAAC